GAUGAACGCUGGCGGCGUGCCUAAUACAUGCAAGUCGAGCGAACGGACGAGAAGCUUGCUUCUCUGAUGUUAGCGGCGGACGGGUGAGUAACACGUGGAUAACCUACCUAUAAGACUGGGAUAACUUCGGGAAACCGGAGCUAAUACCGGAUAAUAUUUUGAACCGCAUGGUUCAAAAGUGAAAGACGGUCUUGCUGUCAACUAUCGAUGGAUCCGCGCUGCAUUAGCUAGUUGGUAAGGUAACGGCUUACCAAGGGAACGAUGGAUAGACGACAGGAGCGACGGGUCGGCCGCCCGGGAGCGUGAACGCGGACCAUGCGACUGCGAGAGGCAGCAGAAUGGUACGUGCCGCAGUAGUCGGAAAUCUUACGGAGCGGCGCCACGUGAGAUGCAGCGACCUUCGGAUCGUAAAACCCGGUUUUGAGUUGUAAACAUAUUUGUAUAGAGCAGAAGAGAACGUGACGGUACCUGCACAGGAAGCCACGGCUAACUACGUG
RNAcentral lists this ribosomal RNA (497 nucleotides) under uncultured bacterium. RNAcentral's name for it is "partial 16S ribosomal RNA". It matches the Rfam family "Bacterial small subunit ribosomal RNA", at positions 28 to 507 of the family's 1533-position model. The record is from RNAcentral.